This 547-nucleotide ribosomal RNA is filed under the name Longpotamon lansi. RNAcentral describes it as "partial 16S ribosomal RNA". It matches the Rfam family "Bacterial large subunit ribosomal RNA", at positions 1831 to 2625 of the family's 2925-position model. RNAcentral also lists the same sequence under 1 other name. Lineage: Eukaryota; Metazoa; Arthropoda; Malacostraca; Decapoda; Potamidae. The record is from RNAcentral.
GUUUGUUUGGAGUUAUAAAGAAUUUAAUCUGCCCCCUGAUUAACUAUUAAUUAAAGGGCCGCAGUAUUAUAACUGUGCAAAGGUAGCAUAAUCAUUAGGUUUUUAAUUGAAAUCUCGUAUGAAUGGUUGGACAAAAGAAAGACUCUCUUUAUAUUAAGUUUUGAAUUUAACUUUUAAGUGAAAAGGCUUAAAUAUUCUAAAGGGACGAUAAGACCCUAUAAAACUUUACAUUGUCAUUAAUUUUGAUUGAAUUUAUGAAAUAAAAAUUUUAUUUGAUUAUUUGUUAUGUUGGGGAGACAUAAGUAAAAUAUUUUUUUAACUGCUUGAUAGUUAUACAAUUAUUAGUGAAUAAGUAGAAGAUCCUUUUUAAGAUUAGUAGAUUAAGUUACUUUAGGGAUAACAGUGUAAUUUCUUUUGAGAGUUCUUAUCGAAAAAGAAGGUUGCAACCUCGAUGUUGAAUUAAAAUAUCUAUAUAAUGGAGAGGUUAUAUAAGAAGGUCUGUUCGACCUUGAAAAUUUUACAUGAUUUGAGUUCAAACCGGUGUGAG